RNAcentral lists this ribosomal RNA (468 nucleotides) under uncultured bacterium. Its description in RNAcentral is "partial 16S ribosomal RNA". It matches the Rfam family "Bacterial small subunit ribosomal RNA", at positions 28 to 507 of the family's 1533-position model. The record is from RNAcentral.
GACGAACGCUGGCGGCGUGCUUAACACAUGCAAGUCGAACGGAAAGGCCCUGCUUUUGUGGGGUGCUCGAGUGGCGAACGGGUGAGUAACACGUGAGUAACCUGCCCUUGACUUUGGGAUAACUUCAGGAAACUGGGGCUAAUACCGGAUAGGAGCUCCUGCUGCAUGGUGGGGGUUGGAAAGUUUCGGCGGUUGGGGAUGGACUCGCGGCUUAUCAGCUUGUUGGUGGGGUAGUGGCUUACCAAGGCUUUGACGGGUAGCCGGCCUGAGAGGGUGACCGGCCACAUUGGGACUGAGAUACGGCCCAGACUCCUACGGGAGGCAGCAGGGGGGAGUAUUGCGCAAUGGGCGGAAGCCUGAUGCAGCGACGCCGCGUGCGGGAUGACGGCCUUCGGGUUGUAAACCGCUUUCGCCUGUGACGAAGCGUGAGUGACGGUAAUGGGUAAAGAAGCACCGGCUAACUACGUG